UUCCGGUUGAUCCCGCCGGACCUGACUGCUAUCGGAUUGAUACUAAGCCAUGCUAGUCUUUGUAGUAAUACAAGGCAUACGGCUCAGUAACGCGUAGUCAACCUACCCUAUGGACGGGGAUAAUCUCGGGAAACUGAGCAUAAUACCCGGUAGACCACUUCUCCUGGAAUGGUUAGUGGUUAAAAUGAUUCGUCGCCAUAGGAUGGGACUGCGGCCUAUCAGCUUGUUGGUGAGGUAAUGGCCCACCAAGGCGAUUACAGGUACGGGCUCUGAGAGGAGAAGCCCGGAGAUGGGUACUGAGACAAGGACCCAGGCCCUAUGGGGCGCAGCAGGCGAGAAAACUUUGCAAUGUGCGAAAGCACGACAAGGUUAAUCCGAGUGAUUUCUGCUAAAGGAAUCUUUUGUUAGUUCUAAAUAUACUAGUGAAUAAGGGGUGGGCAAGUUCUGGUGUCAGCCGCCGCGGUAAAACCAGCACCUCAAGUGGUCAGGAGGAUUAUUGGGCCUAAAGCAUCCGUAGCCUGUUCCAUAAGUUUGCGGUUAAAUCUAUGCGCUCAACGUAUAGGCUGCCGUAAAUACUGUAGAACUAGGGAGUGGGAGAGGUAGACGGUACUCGAUAGGAAGGGGUAAAAUCCUUUGAUCUAUUGAUGACCACCUGUGGCGAAGGCGGUCUACCAGAACACGUUCGACGGUGAGGGGUGAAAGCUGGGGGAGCAAACCGGAUUAGAUACCCGGGUAGUCCCAGCUGUAAACGAUGCAGACUCGAUGAUGCAAUGGCAUAGAGCUAUUGCAGUAUCGCAGGGAAGCCGUUAAGUCUGCCGCCUGGGAAGUACGUACGCAAGUAUGAAACUUAAAGGAAUUGGCGGGGGAGCACCACAAGGGGUGAAGCCUGCGGUUCAAUUUGGAGUCAAUGCCGGUA
RNAcentral lists this ribosomal RNA (916 nucleotides) under uncultured archaeon. RNAcentral's name for it is "bacterial SSU rRNA". It matches the Rfam family "Archaeal small subunit ribosomal RNA", at positions 1 to 923 of the family's 1478-position model. The record is from RNAcentral.